GACGAACGCUGGCGGCGUGCUUAACACAUGCAAGUCGAACGGAAAGGCCCUGCUUGCAGGGUACUCGAGUGGCGAACGGGUGAGUAACACGUGGGUGAUCUGCCCUGCACUUCGGGAUAAGCCUGGUAAACUGGGUCUAAUACCGGAUAGGAGCCAUUUUUAGUGUGAUGGUUGGAAAGUUUUUUCGGUGUAGGAUGAGCUCGCGGCCUAUCAGCUUGUUGGUGGGGUAAUGGCCUACCAAGGCGGCGACGGGUAGCCGGCCUGAGAGGGUGGACGGCCACAUUGGGACUGAGAUACGGCCCAGACUCCUACGGGAGGCAGCAGUGGGGAAUAUUGCACAAUGGGCGCAAGCCUGAUGCAGCGACGCCGCGUGGGGGAUGACGGCCUUCGGGUUGUAAACUCAUUUCGCUAGGGACGAAGCUUUUUGUGACGGUACCUAGAUAAGAAGCACCGGCUAACUACGUG
This 465-nucleotide ribosomal RNA is filed under the name uncultured bacterium. RNAcentral's name for it is "partial 16S ribosomal RNA". It matches the Rfam family "Bacterial small subunit ribosomal RNA", at positions 28 to 507 of the family's 1533-position model. The record is from RNAcentral.